UCCGGCCAUUUGCGAGUGGCUCACAAUUAGCUGGCCACCAAAUUAUAUCCAGAUUCGAAAGCAGAGGAGACUAAACACAAUCAUGGCUGUAGAUCCGAUCCGAUCCCAUUAUCUAAAGCUCGGGACGAGACAAGCGGCCAGUUCCUGUCGCCCGAAAUUGGCAAGAAAAGCAGCUCAGCGGCCCAAAAAAGAAAUGCUAAUGAGCAGCCAACAAACGAGUCGAAACGAAAACUGUUUGCCAGUCCAUUGUUGAGUGACUAGUAACUAAAGUGACUGCACCGGGAGAAAUAUUAUUUCAUGCUUAUGUCGACAUUUGCAGAUACCAAAAUCAAAUGUUCCAAUGUUACUAAUAUUUAUUUAUUGAAAUGAAAGCUUUUAUACACCCUGCACUACAAAAUGUUAAUUAAUGAAACCAACUAUGAAGGCAAAGAAUAUUGUUGAUUUUCAAAAACAACGAACCCUUUUCUUAUAUUUAAAUUGUUCCCGACUGCCAACUGAAUGCCUGAAUGACCGACUGAAUGAAUAAAGGAGGGUACUCCUCUCCAUGAAGCGACGCACAAUUCAAUUGAAACUGUUGCCCGGAUCGGGACUGGGCUUCGAAGUGAGUUUGGGAAGUGGAUGUGGAACUGGAAGAACUGCUGGCUUACCUUACCUUUCAAAUUGAUGAACAGCAACAAAGGCUGCCCGGGGACAAAAGAAAACCAGGCAUAGAAAAGCGACUUUCAAAGUUUCCAACGCGACAAUGAUCUGAGGGCAAGAAACGCCGAACAGUUGGUGACAACAAAACGGGCCAACAAUAAAAAUGAGUCCAGCCAAGAGAAAACCAUAAAAGAUUUUCCCGUUUUAUGAGGCCGUCCGACCCCUUGGCUGUUUUCAGUGUGAGUAUGCGCUUUUACGAAAUUCAAAAAGCAAUUUACCAAAGGCAUCGCUGCCCCGGCUCCAAGCCAAACGAAGAUCUCGGGUCUUGAGCUCUAAGUGCCUCCAAAGGACGAGGAACAGGUCGAGGCGUCAGAGCUCAGAAGGAGACUCGGAAAGCAAGACAAAAGCGAGGUCUUCAGGGAACACAUAUGACAGUUUUACGAGCUAACGAAAGUGGUUCGGCCUGCCAGGCGAAGUAGAGGUCCCGAGAUAAUGCCGACAUAUUUGGGCUUUUACGAUCCCGCCGCCUCCGAUGCCAUUGCAUAUUGGGAAAAUUGUAAAUCACACUUGCCUACGGACCCACGGACAGAUAUCCGCAGUGUUGCCCCACAUUGGAGCAGACCGCACGAUAAAGCAUCGCACAUAAGAUGUGUAUUAGCGUGUCUGUUAAAUUGUUUUUAGUUGCCGACGCGUCUGCAAAUGAGCCAUUGUUGAAAGGGCGGGGAUAGGGGGGGAAAUGGCAUAUGGAGGAGAAAGGGGCCUCUGUCAGUACGGGGAAACUGGGGUACUUAAGUGUCGGCACUGAAGCGCUUUAAAUGUUGCUACUUGCCCCUGCGUAUGUCUGUGUGAACCCAUUCUCGUCUGAUGUUGCAUUACGAAAUGGUUUCAUGCAUCUGCAAUCCAUACACACCGACUUUGGGUACGGAUGGUGGGAGGUGGAAUGUGUGGCUGGGUGGGUGCCAAAUGGUGUGAGGAGGUGUCGACGGUGGGUGUUACAUGGCAAGGGGUGGUGUGAACUUUCUGUGAAUGGCCAUUUAUCGGUGCAAUUGUGUUUGAAGCUCGUAACUACCGCCAUGUUCGAUAAUUUACAAUGUGCCCGGCUUCUGUUAGUGGUGCUCUAGGUGUGAAGUGAUCCGU
Molecule: long non-coding RNA, 1776 nt
Organism: Drosophila gunungcola (fruit fly)
Lineage: Eukaryota; Metazoa; Arthropoda; Insecta; Diptera; Drosophilidae
Exons: 4
Source: RefSeq, a predicted model, not a curated record